CAGUAGCCACGGUAAUACGUAGGGUGCGAGCGUUAAUCGGAUUUACUGGGCGUAAAGCGUGCGCAGGCGGCCCGUUAAGACAGGUGUGAAAUCCCUGGGCUCAACCUAGGAAUUGCGCUUGUGACUGGCGGGCUCGAGUACGGUAGAGGGGGGUGGAAUUCCUGGUGUAGCAGUGAAAUGCGUAGAGAUCAGGAGGAACACCGAUGGCGAAGGCAGCCCCCUGGGCCUGUACUGACGCUCAUGCACGAAAGCGUGGGGAGCAAACAGGAUUAGAUACCCGCGUAGUCCCUGUCUCUUAUAC
RNAcentral lists this ribosomal RNA (301 nucleotides) under uncultured bacterium. Its description in RNAcentral is "partial 16S ribosomal RNA". It matches the Rfam family "Bacterial small subunit ribosomal RNA", at positions 509 to 807 of the family's 1533-position model. The record is from RNAcentral.